RNAcentral lists this ribosomal RNA (391 nucleotides) under uncultured bacterium. RNAcentral's name for it is "bacterial SSU rRNA". It matches the Rfam family "Bacterial small subunit ribosomal RNA", at positions 30 to 416 of the family's 1533-position model. The record is from RNAcentral.
AUUGAACGCUGGCGGCAGGCCUAACACAUGCAAGUCGAGCGGCAGCGGGAAAGUAGCUUGCUACUUUUGCCGGCGAGCGGCGGACGGGUGAGUAAUGCCUGGGAAAUUGCCCAGUCGAGGGGGAUAACAGUUGGAAACGACUGCUAAUACCGCAUACGCCUACGGGGAAAGCAGGGACCUUCGGGCCUUGCGCGAUUGGAUAUGCCCAGGUGGGAUUAGCUUGUUGGUGAGGUAAUGGCUCACCAAGGCGACGAUCCCUAGCUGGUCUGAGAGGAUGAUCAGCCACACUGGAACUGAGACACGGUCCAGACUCCUACGGGAGGCAGCAGUGGGGAAUAUUGCACAAUGGGGGAAACCCUGAUGCAGCCAUGCCGCGUGUGUGAAGAAGGCC